RNAcentral lists this transfer RNA (67 nucleotides) under Cichlidogyrus halli. Its description in RNAcentral is "tRNA-Ile". The record is from RNAcentral. Lineage: Eukaryota; Metazoa; Platyhelminthes; Monogenea; Dactylogyridea; Ancyrocephalidae.
GUCGAUAGGGCUGCAAUGGCAGGGUACUUUGAUAUAGUGCUAUUUAAAGAAAUUUCUUUCAUCGAUA